GACGUAGGGGGCAAGCGUUGUCCGGAUUUAUUGGGCGUAAAGAGCUCGUAGGCGGCUCAGAAAGUCGGGUGUGAAACCUCCAGGCUCAACCUGGAGACGCCACCUGAUACUGCUGUGGCUAGAGUCCGGUAGGGGAGCACGGAAUUCCCGGUGUAGCGGUGAAAUGCGCAGAUAUCGGGAGGAACACCAAUGGCGAAGGCAGCUCGCUGGGACGGUACUGACGCUGAGACGCGAAAGCGUGGGGAGCAAACAGG
RNAcentral lists this ribosomal RNA (254 nucleotides) under uncultured bacterium. RNAcentral's name for it is "partial 16S ribosomal RNA". It matches the Rfam family "Bacterial small subunit ribosomal RNA", at positions 524 to 776 of the family's 1533-position model. The record is from RNAcentral.